AACCAGUACCGUGAGGGAAAGGUGAAAAGCACCCCGGAAGGGGAGUGAAAUAGAACCUGAAACCGUGUGCUUACAAGUAGUCAGAGCCCGUUAAUGGGUGAUGGCGUGCCUUUUGUAGAAUGAACCGGCGAGUUACGAUUUGAUGCAAGGUUAAGCAGUAAAUGUGGAGCCGUAGCGAAAGCGAGUCUGAAUAGGGCGUUUAGUAUUUGGUCGUAGACCCGAAACCAGGUGAUCUACCCUUGGUCAGGUUGAAGUUCAGGUAACACUGAAUGGAGGACCGAACCGACUUACGUUGAAAAGUGAGCGGAUGAACUGAGGGUAGCGGAGAAAUUCCAAUCGAACCUGGAGAUAGCUGGUUCUCUCCGAAAUAGCUUUAGGGCUAGCCUCAAGUGAUGAUUAUUGGAGGUAGAGCACUGUUUGGACGAGGGGCCCCUCUCGGGUUACCGAAUUCAGACAAACUCCGAAUGCCAAUUAAUUUAACUUGGGAGUCAGAACAUGGGUGAUAAGGUCCGUGUUCGAAAGGGAAACAGCCCAGACCACCAGCUAAGGUCCCAAAAUAUAUGUUAAGUGGAAAAGGAUGUGGCGUUGCCCAGACAACUAGGAUGUUGGCUUAGAAGCAGCCAUCAUUUAAAGAGUGCGUAAUAGCUCACUAGUCGAGUGACACUGCGCCGAAAAUGUACCGGGGCUAAACAUAUUACCGAAGCUGUGGAUUGUCCUUUGGACAAUGGUAGGAGAGCGUUCUAAGGGCGUUGAAGCAUGAUCGUAAGGACAUGUGGAGCGCUUAGAAGUGAGAAUGCCGGUGUGAGUAGCGAAAGACGGGUGAGAAUCCCGUCCACCGAUUGACUAAGGUUUCCAGAGGAAGGCUCGUCCGCUCUGGGUUAGUCGGGUCCUAAGCUGAGGCCGACAGGCGUAGGCGAUGGAUAACAGGUUGAUAUUCCUGUACCACCUAUAAUCGUUUUAAUCGAUGGGGGGACGCAGUAGGAUAGGCGAAGCGUGCGAUUGGAUUGCACGUCUAAGCAGUAAGGCUGAGUAUUAGGCAAAUCCGGUACUCGUUAAGGCUGAGCUGUGAUGGGGAGAAGACAUUGUGUCUUCGAGUCGUUGAUUUCACACUGCCGAGAAAAGCCUCUAGAUAGAAAAUAGGUGCCCGUACCGCAAACCGACACAGGUAGUCAAGAUGAGAAUUCUAAGGUGAGCGAGCGAACUCUCGUUAAGGAACUCGGCAAAAUGACCCCGUAACUUCGGGAGAAGGGGUGCUCUUUAGGGUUAACGCCCAGAAGAGCCGCAGUGAAUAGGCCCAAGCGACUGUUUAUCAAAAACACAGGUCUCUGCUAAACCGUAAGGUGAUGUAUAGGGGCUGACGCCUGCCCGGUGCUGGAAGGUUAAGAGGAGUGGUUAGCUUCUGCGAAGCUACGAAUCGAAGCCCCAGUAAACGGCGGCCGUAACUAUAACGGUCCUAAGGUAGCGAAAUUCCUUGUCGGGUAAGUUCCGACCCGCACGAAAGGCGUAACGAUUUGGGCACUGUCUCAACGAGAGACUCGGUGAAAUCAUAGUACCUGUGAAGAUGCAGGUUACCCGCGACAGGACGGAAAGACCCCGUGGAGCUUUACUGUAGCCUGAUAUUGAAAUUCGGCACAGCUUGUACAGGAUAGGUAGGAGCCUUUGAAACGUGAGCGCUAGCUUACGUGGAGGCGCUGGUGGGAUACUACCCUAGCUGUGUUGGCUUUCUAACCCGCACCACUUAUCGUGGUGGGAGACAGUGUCAGGCGGGCAGUUUGACUGGGGCGGUCGCCUCCUAAAAGGUAACGGAGGCGCUCAAAGGUUCCCUCAGAAUGGUUGGAAAUCAUUCAUAGAGUGUAAAGGCAUAAGGGAGCUUGACUGCGAGACCUACAAGUCGAGCAGGGUCGAAAGACGGACUUAGUGAUCCGGUGGUUCCGCAUGGAAGGGCCAUCGCUCAACGGAUAAAAGCUACCCCGGGGAUAACAGGCUUAUCUCCCCCAAGAGUUCACAUCGACGGGGAGGUUUGGCACCUCGAUGUCGGCUCAUCGCAUCCUGGGGCUGUAGUCGGUCCCAAGGGUUGGGCUGUUCGCCCAUUAAAGCGGUACGCGAGCUGGGUUCAGAACGUCGUGAGACAGUUCGGUCCCUAUCCGUCGUGGGCGUAGGAAAUUUGAGAGGAGCUGUCCUUAGUACGAGAGGACCGGGAUGGACAUACCUCUGGUGUACCAGUUGUCGUGCCAACGGCAUAGC
This 2244-nucleotide ribosomal RNA is filed under the name Staphylococcus aureus. Its description in RNAcentral is "partial 23S ribosomal RNA". It matches the Rfam family "Bacterial large subunit ribosomal RNA", at positions 493 to 2741 of the family's 2925-position model. Lineage: Bacteria; Bacillati; Bacillota; Bacilli; Caryophanales; Staphylococcaceae. The record is from RNAcentral.